GACGAACGCUGGCGGCGUGCUUAACACAUGCAAGUCGAACGCUGAAGGCCUGGCUUUUGUUGGGUUGGAUGAGUGGCGAACGGGUGAGUAACACGUGAGUAACCUGCCCUCUUCUUUGGGAUAACGCCCGGAAACGGGUGCUAAUACUGGAUAUUCACUGAUCUUCGCAUGGGGGUUGGUGGAAAGGUUUGUUCUGGUGGGGGAUGGGCUCGCGGCCUAUCAGCUUGUUGGUGGGGUGAUGGCCUACCAAGGCUUUGACGGGUAGCCGGCCUGAGAGGGUGACCGGUCACAUUGGGACUGAGAUACGGCCCAGACUCCUACGGGAGGCAGCAGUGGGGAAUAUUGCACAAUGGGCGAAAGCCUGAUGCAGCGACGCCGCGCGAGGGAUGGAGGCCUUCGGGUUGUAAACCUCUUUCGCUCAUGGUCAAGCCGCAACUGUGGGUUGUGGUGAGGGUAGUGGGUAAAGAAGCGCCGGCUAACUACGUG
RNAcentral lists this ribosomal RNA (486 nucleotides) under uncultured bacterium. Its description in RNAcentral is "partial 16S ribosomal RNA". It matches the Rfam family "Bacterial small subunit ribosomal RNA", at positions 28 to 507 of the family's 1533-position model. The record is from RNAcentral.